Bos taurus (domestic cattle) is the source of this 1711-nucleotide long non-coding RNA. NCBI's taxonomy places the organism in Eukaryota, Metazoa, Chordata, Mammalia, Artiodactyla, Bovidae. The record is from Ensembl.
UUCGCAUCAGGUGGCCAAAGUAUUGGAGUUUCAGCUUCAGCAUCAGUCCUUCCAAUGAACAUUCAGGACUGAUUUCCUUUAGAAUGGACUGGUUGGAUCUCCUUGUAGUCCAAGGGUCUCUCAAGAGUCUUCUCCAACACCACAAUUCAAAAGCAUCAAUUCUUUGGCACUCAGCUUUCUUUAUAAUCCCAACUCUCACAUCCGUUCAUGACUACUGGAAAAACCUUAGCCUUGACUAGACGAAUCUUUGUUGGCAUCAGUUCAGUUUAGUCGCUCAGUCGUGUCCCACUCUUUGUGACCCCAUGAAUCGCAGCACGCCAGGCCUCCCUGUCCAUCACCAACUCCCAGAGUUCACUCAAACUCAUGUCCAUCGAGUCGGUGAUGCCAUCCAGCCAUCUCAUCCUCUGUCGUCCCCUUCUCCUCCUGCCCCCAAUCCCUCCCAGCAUCAGGGUCUUUUCCAAUGAGUCAAUUCUUCGCAUGAGGUGGCUAAAGUAUUGGAGUUUCAGCUUUAGCAUCAGUCCUUCCAAUGAAUAGCCAAGUCUGAUCUCCUUUAGAAUGGACUGGUUGGAUCUCCUUGCAGUCCAAGGGACUCUCAGGAGUCUUCUCCAAGGCAUACAGUUACAUAAAACAUUUUCCCACAGGACUCAGAUCCUCCACGUGCAGAGCUGUGCCCACAGCUCUUCCCUCCCAGGCCCUGGAGCAAGGCUCGUUCAGAGAGAAACAAGACCACCUGCGUGUGAAGUGCCUUCUGAUGGCCCUGGUGAUCUCUCACGUAGGAACAAAGUGUAAACUUCAAUUCGGCAGCUUAAGUACAGAAACUGACCCUGGUGCCUAAGUUAAUCGAGUUACAGGAUGAUCUUUUUAGGAUCAUUUUUCGGCUAUGACGCAUUUUAUUACUACUUUUCCUCCAGAUCUGUUCAGGUCUGCCACCCUCUGAUCUUGCCCAACCACACCCUGCCUGCGUCUGAGAAGGCUUUGCAGGGACCUGGUGGGGGGCUCCUAGGCUGCUCGCAGCACUGGCCGCUGCACCAUCUGGUACUCUCGUGCACGCUUCCCAAGAAGCAGGCAGAGUCCUGCACUUUGUUCCUACGACCUCGAGUCCCAGCAGAGCCCUGGGAGAUGCUCUUGCCCACAAGCCCUGCUCCUGGCCCAGACCGGGCUGAUUGACUGGGCACCUGAGAGGCAUGUAAAGAGUGUACAUCACAGGUACUCCCCCGGCCCAGACGCUGGCUGAGUGGUGGGGAGACCCUGAAGAGGGGAAUUCAGACGAGGCUGGCCAUCAAGGAGCCCCUCCGGCGUCAGAGUCAGCGGUGAGAGGACUUCACACCUAACGUUGGUCACAGGAGCACAGAGCAGGUGCAGCCCUGCCUGGGUGGGGCUCGGGGUCUCCGGCCCCUGAGAGCAGCACUGCCUGGAGGGAAGGUGCCCCAGCAGCCGACCAACUAGCCCCGGGGGCUACAGACGCCACCUCCUCUGCCUUACACACGGGCAAGCCCCCAAACCACUUUUAGGCACACACUGGGAGGCAGAACCUCUCAACUCCAGCCUUGCAUCUGAGGCCAACCCUAAAAUAUCUGCAUAUUAAACGACCAAGGACAGUUAAGCUUUCAAAGGGAGAAGAUCAAAGUGCUGUCAUCUUUGAAUUUAAUCCUUUUGUUGCAUCAGUGGUCUUAAGAGGGAUAAGAGAGAUCAAAAUAAAAAUGGAAACAAA